UACGGGGGGUGCAAGCGUUAAUCGGAAUUACUGGGCGUAAAGGGUCUGUAGGUGGUUUGUUAAGUCAGAUGUGAAAGCCCAGGGCUCAACCUUGGAACUGCAUUUGAUACUGGCAAACUAGAGUAUGGUAGAGGAAUGAGGAAUUUCUGGUGUAGCGGUGAAAUGCGUAGAGAUCAGAAGGAACACCGAUGGCGAAGGCAACAUUCUGGACUGAUACUGACACUGAGGGACGAAAGCGUGGGGAUCAAACAGG
Molecule: unclassified non-coding RNA, 253 nt
Filed under: uncultured Francisellaceae bacterium
Lineage: Bacteria; Pseudomonadati; Pseudomonadota; Gammaproteobacteria; Thiotrichales; Francisellaceae
Description: contains 16S-23S intergenic spacer region
Rfam family: Bacterial small subunit ribosomal RNA
Source: RNAcentral